This 492-nucleotide ribosomal RNA is filed under the name Fusarium graminearum. Its description in RNAcentral is "eukaryotic LSU rRNA". The stretch from base 136 to 289 matches the Rfam family "5.8S ribosomal RNA". The record is from RNAcentral. Lineage: Eukaryota; Fungi; Ascomycota; Sordariomycetes; Hypocreales; Nectriaceae.
CCCAAACCCCUGAUGAACAUACCUUAUGUUGCCUCGGCGGAUCAGCCCGCGCCCCGUAAAAAGGGACGGCCCGCCGCAGGAACCCUAAACUCUGUUUUUAGUGGAACUUCUGAGUAUAAAAAACAAAUAAAUCAAAACUUUCAACAACGGAUCUCUUGGUUCUGGCAUCGAUGAAGAACGCAGCAAAAUGCGAUAAGUAAUGUGAAUUGCAGAAUUCAGUGAAUCAUCGAAUCUUUGAACGCACAUUGCGCCCGCCAGUAUUCUGGCGGGCAUGCCUGUUCGAGCGUCAUUUCAACCCUCAAGCCCAGCUUGGUGUUGGGAGCUGCAGUCCUGCUGCACUCCCCAAAUACAUUGGCGGUCACGUCGAGCUUCCAUAGCGUAGUAAUUUACACAUCGUUACUGGUAAUCGUCGCGGCCACGCCGUUAAACCCCAACUUCUGAAUGUUGACCUCGGAUCAGGUAGGAAUACCCGCUGAACUUAAGCAUAUCAAA